RNAcentral lists this ribosomal RNA (332 nucleotides) under uncultured eukaryote. RNAcentral's name for it is "partial 18S ribosomal RNA". It matches the Rfam family "Eukaryotic small subunit ribosomal RNA", at positions 1470 to 1796 of the family's 1831-position model. The record is from RNAcentral.
CCCUUAGAUGUUCUGGGCUGCACACGUGCUACACUGGCAGGUUCAGCGAGCUUUAUGCCCUGAUCUGAAAGGAAUGGGAAAUCUUUUCAAAACCUGCCGUGCUUGGGAUAGAUGUUUGCAAUUAUUCAUCUUCAACGAGGAUUGCCUUGUAAGCGCACGUCAUCAGCGUGCAUUGAAUACGACCCUGUAUUCUGUACACACCGCCCGUCGCUCCUACCGAUUGAAGUUUUCGGUGAGUUGACAGGAGGAUUUUUUUGAAACUGGUUCGCCAGUGGAUUUUAGAUCCAAAUGCCAACGAAUCGAUGGCUUUAGAGGAAGGAGAAGUCGUAACA